RNAcentral lists this ribosomal RNA (552 nucleotides) under Bacillus sp. (in: firmicutes). RNAcentral describes it as "bacterial SSU rRNA". It matches the Rfam family "Bacterial small subunit ribosomal RNA", at positions 119 to 657 of the family's 1533-position model. Lineage: Bacteria; Bacillati; Bacillota; Bacilli; Caryophanales; Bacillaceae. The record is from RNAcentral.
GGGCAACCUGCCUGUAAGACUGGGAUAACUUCGGGAAACCGGAGCUAAUACCGGAUAAUCCUUUUCUACUCAUGUAGAAAAGCUGAAAGACGGUUUACGCUGUCACUUACAGAUGGGCCCGCGGCGCAUUAGCUAGUUGGUGAGGUAACGGCUCACCAAGGCGACGAUGCGUAGCCGACCUGAGAGGGUGAUCGGCCACACUGGGACUGAGACACGGCCCAGACUCCUACGGGAGGCAGCAGUAGGGAAUCUUCCGCAAUGGACGAAAGUCUGACGGAGCAACGCCGCGUGAGUGAUGAAGGUUUUCGGAUCGUAAAACUCUGUUGUUAGGGAAGAACAAGUACGAGAGUAACUGCUCGUACCUUGACGGUACCUAACCAAAAAGCCACGGCUAACUACGUGCCAGCAGCCGCGGUAAUACGUAGGUGGCAAGCGUUGUCCGGAAUUAUUGGGCGUAAAGCGCGCGCAGGCGGUCCUUUAAGUCUGAUGUGAAAGCCCACGGCUCAAGCGUGGAGGGUCAUUGGAAACUGGGGGACUUGAGUGCGCAACAGA